UCGUGAGGCGGAGCUAAUCCCUUAAAGCCAUUCUCAGUUCGGAUUGUAGGCUGAAACUCGCCUACAUGAAGCUGGAGUUACUAGUAAUCGCAGAUCAGAAUGCUGCGGUGAAUGCGUUCCCGGGUCUAGUACACACCGCCCGUCACACCACGGAAGUUGGGGGCGCCCGAAGCCACUUAGCUAACCCUUUUGGGAAGCGAGUGUCGAAGGUGAAAUCAAUAACCGGGGUGAAGUCGUAACAAGGUAAC
RNAcentral lists this ribosomal RNA (248 nucleotides) under uncultured bacterium. Its description in RNAcentral is "partial 16S ribosomal RNA". It matches the Rfam family "Bacterial small subunit ribosomal RNA", at positions 1255 to 1500 of the family's 1533-position model. The record is from RNAcentral.